UUGUCGCAUUCAGUUCCCACUCGAUCACCUUCUCAAACGGAUCUCUGUUUUUCUGAAUUAAUUAAAACAAUUCAUUUAUUUUAUUUCAAAGAAAAUUGGAAGUUGUAUCAAACAGUUUCAGGUGUUCGACCAAUGUAUUUUCCUGAAGGAUUCAUGAAACUAAAAAAGGCAUGCAACGCUUUUAUUGCAACUAGUAAUUAAUCUUUAGAAUACUUAGACAGUAGAUACAGUCUCCUAACUCGAUUGGCUUAGAAAGGGGUUUCAAGUUCAAUUCUCGGGUCGGGUAAACGCCACGCCAAAUGCGUUUCCAUACUUUUGGAUUUGAGGAUGGGGGGUUGGGGAGUAUUUGAGAUAUUUUUAAUUCAGGUUGUUUAAUUAGAGCGACCUCGUGCCAUUAACUCUGAUUGAUCUAGCAGCCAACCAAAAGGACCACCACCGAAGAUCUACACGACAACUUACUAUGAGCAAAAAGAAGAAGAUAAAGAGAAGAAAAAGAAAGAAGAACAAAUUACAAAAAACCUUGUUAAGCGAAGUUGGUUUGUGACCGUCACUAACGGGCAGUACCUCUAUUUGCUCGUUUUGACGAUCGCAAAAUGAACUCGCUUGACUCUAUUCAACGGUGGAAACUGCGGACAUAAAGACCGGUGGGAAAAAGGACCAGAAAACUUAUGAAUGCAAUUUUUUACUCCCAAACUCACGGGUGUUGUAAGUUUCACGUGUCUGUUUCUUUUAUGUGUAUCUGUUUGUACCGUUAUAGCUUUUAAAUCUAAAUAGAUGAAUUGAUUUUGAUCUUGUUUUGUACAGUGAUUUUAAUUAUGUGAUCUUAAAAUUGUUGAUUGUAAACCACUUAUGCCACAACAGAAAAUCCUUGUGUGGCAAAGAUUUUUCAAAUGUCUCUGAACAGUUCAAAGUUUAUAUGUAUUAGGUUUAUGGAAUAUGUAUAAGACUUUGUCGUAUGUGUUAGGAUAGUAAUAAACUAAUGUGUUGCUUCUGAAAACAAAGAAUUUAUUUUGUUAAUUUCUUAUAAAUACAUCUUAUUUGGGUCACUAUUGUAAAAUACCUCACCGGAAAACAAAGAAACGACAUUCAUUCAUUGUGGGAGAGCCCUGCAUCGGCACGAAUGGGCCAGCUCGACCGGGGUGAUACCACGGCCUUACAGAAAACCGAUGUGAAACAACGCUUGCGUUGUAUGAGUGAGGUUACCGAAGGUCCAAUUACCCCCUUCCCAAUUCUCGAUUUCCCGACCAUCCAGAAAUUUCUAACCCCCAAAAGGCCGGCAACGUAUGUCGUUUCUUUAUUUAUCCACAAAUUCUAAUGGAUUAAAUUUUACUUUUUGUCAUUUUUGCUAACUCUACUUUCCAAUCAUCCUAAUCUUUAAAAAAACUAAAUGCAAACCAAAAACAUCUAUUUUUUUUU
Molecule: long non-coding RNA, 1416 nt
Organism: Spodoptera frugiperda (fall armyworm)
Lineage: Eukaryota; Metazoa; Arthropoda; Insecta; Lepidoptera; Noctuidae
Exons: 2
Source: RefSeq, a predicted model, not a curated record